This 61-nucleotide non-coding RNA is filed under the name Protocruzia adhaerens. The record is from RNAcentral. Lineage: Eukaryota; Ciliophora; Spirotrichea.
GAGAAAGAAAAAAAAGAAUAAGAAAAAAGAAAAAAAGGAUAUCAAAGGUAUGAAGGUUGAA